Molecule: transfer RNA, 72 nt
Organism: Gloeocapsa sp. PCC 73106
Lineage: Bacteria; Bacillati; Cyanobacteriota; Cyanophyceae; Chroococcidiopsidales; Chroococcidiopsidaceae
Rfam family: tRNA
About the family: Transfer RNA (tRNA) molecules are approximately 80 nucleotides in length. Their secondary structure includes four short double-helical elements and three loops (D, anti-codon, and T loops).
Source: Rfam
GGCGGCAUAGCCAAGUGGUAAGGCAGUAGAUUGCAAAUCUUCCAUCCCCCAGUUCGAAUCUGGGUGCCGCCU